This 747-nucleotide ribosomal RNA is filed under the name Paramoritella sp. KR08-19. RNAcentral describes it as "bacterial SSU rRNA". It matches the Rfam family "Bacterial small subunit ribosomal RNA", at positions 76 to 818 of the family's 1533-position model. Lineage: Bacteria; Pseudomonadati; Pseudomonadota; Gammaproteobacteria; Alteromonadales; Moritellaceae. The record is from RNAcentral.
UAGCUUGCUACCCGCUGACGAGCGGCGGACGGGUGAGUAAUGCUUGGGGAGCUGCCCGAUAGAGGGGGAUAACAGUUGGAAACGACUGCUAAUACCGCAUAACCUCUUCGGAGUAAAGCGGGGGAUCUUCGGACCUCGCGCUAUCGGAUGCGCCCAAGUGGGAUUAGCUAGUUGGUGAGGUAAUGGCUCACCAAGGCGACGAUCCCUAGCUGGUCUGAGAGGAUGAUCAGCCACACUGGAACUGAGACACGGUCCAGACUCCUACGGGAGGCAGCAGUGGGGAAUAUUGCACAAUGGGCGAAAGCCUGAUGCAGCCAUGCCGCGUGUAUGAAGAAGGCCUUCGGGUUGUAAAGUACUUUCAGCGAGGAGGAAAGGGUGUACGUUAAUACCGUGCAUCUGUGACGUUACUCGCAGAAGAAGCACCGGCUAACUCCGUGCCAGCAGCCGCGGUAAUACGGAGGGUGCGAGCGUUAAUCGGAAUUACUGGGCGUAAAGCGCAUGCAGGCGGCUGAUUAAGCCAGAUGUGAAAGCCCGAGGCUCAACCUCGGAAUAGCAUUUGGAACUGGUCAGCUAGAGUUCUUGAGAGGGUGGUAGAAUUUCAGGUGUAGCGGUGAAAUGCGUAGAGAUCUGAAGGAAUACCAGUGGCGAAGGCGGCCACCUGGCANGUAACUGACGCUCAGAUGCGAAAGCGUGGGGAGCAAACAGGAUUAGAUACCCNGGNAGUCCACGCCGUAACGAUGUCUACUC